RNAcentral lists this ribosomal RNA (282 nucleotides) under Triticum aestivum (bread wheat). Its description in RNAcentral is "partial small subunit ribosomal RNA". Lineage: Eukaryota; Viridiplantae; Streptophyta; Magnoliopsida; Poales; Poaceae. The record is from RNAcentral.
AUGGGCACAUCAAUAAGGGCAUGGAGCCCGUUAAAGAGGAGGUCGGAGCGGCGUUGGACCUGGAUCAACUCAUCUAAAUCAAGCGGCCAGCCUCGGCUGGGAGUCACCAACGCUCCACCUGGACGGCGUCGGCUGGGACAGCUCCACAUGCAAUGGCUGGCCGGGGACCAGACCUCGACAGGAACGUGUUGCCCUUUCAGCCGGUGUUCUUUGACCUCGAGAAUGGCAACCAGGAGCUCAAGAGCGACGUCAAGGACCUCUACAUCAACCUCGGGCAAGUAA